This 253-nucleotide ribosomal RNA is filed under the name uncultured bacterium. RNAcentral describes it as "partial 16S ribosomal RNA". It matches the Rfam family "Bacterial small subunit ribosomal RNA", at positions 524 to 776 of the family's 1533-position model. The record is from RNAcentral.
UACGUAGGGUGCAAGCGUUAAUCGGAAUUACUGGGCGUAAAGCGUGCGCAGGCGGUUUUGUAAGUCUGUCGUGAAAGCCCCGGGCUCAACCUGGGAAUUGCGAUGGAGACUGCAAGGCUUGAAUCUGGCAGAGGGGGGUAGGAUUCCACGUGUAGCAGUGAAAUGCGUAGAGAUGUGGAGGAACACCGAUGGCGAAGGCAGCCCCCUGGGUCAAGAUUGACGCUCAUGCACGAAAGCGUGGGGAGCAAACAGG